Molecule: ribosomal RNA, 1423 nt
Filed under: metagenome
Description: bacterial LSU rRNA
Rfam family: Bacterial large subunit ribosomal RNA
Source: RNAcentral
GAAAUUCCGUAGCCGCCGAAAUUGUUAAGCACAGGGACACAUAGAGAUAUCCGAACCCGGGCGUUGGUUGACCCGGGCGCAAGGGACCGAACAUCAGUAGGGAAGUCGGAGAUGCUCUGUGGCGAGAAAAGCUGUGUGUAUUGAUUAGGCGCCCGUACCGCAAACCGACACAGGUAGAUGAGGAGAGAAUCCUAAGGCCAACGGGAGAAGGGUUGUUAAGGAACUCGGCAAAUUGACCCCGUAACUUCGGGAUAAGGGGAGCCUCCUACGGGAGGCCGCAGUGAAUAGGCCCAAGCAACUGUUUACCAAAAACACAGGUCUCUGCUAAAUCGAAAGAUGACGUAUAGGGGCUGACGCCUGCCCGGUGCCGGAAGGUUAAGAGGAGAGCUUAGCGCAAGCGAAGGUUCGAAUUGAAGCCCCGGUAAACGGCGGCCGUAACUAUAACGGUCCUAAGGUAGCGAAAUUCCUUGUCAGGUAAGUUCUGACCCGCACGAAUGGCGUAAUGAUUUGGGCACGGUCUCAACAGCCCGCCCGGCGAAAUUGUAGUACUGGUGAAGAUGCCAGUUACCCGCAACUAGACGGAAAGACCCCAUGGAGCUUUACUGUAGCCUAAUACUGAAGAUCGGUAAUGCAUGUACAGGAUAGGUGGGAGCCAGCGAAACCCGGGCGUCAGCUCGGAUGGAGGCAACCUUGGAAUACCACCCUUGUAUUGCUGGUUUCCUAACCUGCGGCCAUGAAUCUGGUCGGGGGGACACUGUUAGGUGGGCAGUUUGACUGGGGCGGUCGCCUCCAAAAGCGUAACGGAGGCGCUCAAAGGUUGGCUCAGCACGGACGGAAAUCGUGCAUAGAGUGCAAACGCAUAAGCCAACUUGACUGCGAGACCGACGGGUCGAGCAGGUACGAAAGUAGGAGUUAGUGAUCCGGUGGUAUGUGAGUGGAAAUGCCAUCGCUCAACGGAUAAAAGCUACCCUGGGGAUAACAGGCUGAUCUCCCCCAAGCGUCCACAGCGACGGGGAGGUUUGGCACCUUGAUGUCGGCUCGUCACAUCCUGGGGCUGUAUUCGGUCCCAAGGGUUCGGCUGUUCGCCGAUUAAAGUGGCACGCGAGCUGGGUUCAGAACGUCGUGAGACAGUUCGGUCCCUAUCUGUUGCGGGCGCAGGAGAUUUGAAGGGAGCUGUCCUUAGUACGAGAGGACCGGGAUGGACAGACCUCUGGUGCACCAGUUGUCGUGCCAACGGCACAGCUGGGUAGCUACGUCUGGACGAGAUAAACGCUGAAAGCAUCUAAGUGUGAAACUCCCCCUAAGAUAAGAUCUCCCAUCCAUUAGGAGUAAGGGACGACAGAGACUAUGUCGUUGAUAGGUCGGAAGUGUAAGUGCAGUAAUGCAUUGAGCUGACCGAUACUAAUAACCCGAGGGCUUGACC